This 1488-nucleotide ribosomal RNA is filed under the name uncultured bacterium. RNAcentral's name for it is "partial 16S ribosomal RNA". It matches the Rfam family "Bacterial small subunit ribosomal RNA". The record is from RNAcentral.
AGAGUUUGAUCCUGGCUCAGGACGAACGCUGGCGGCAUGCCUAACACAUGCAAGUCGAACGAGAAAGUUCCUUCGGGAGCAAUUAAAGUGGCGCACGGGUGAGUAACGCGUAGACAAUCUGCCCUUCAGUCUGGGACAACUUUUCGAAAGGAGAGCUAAUACCGGAUAACAAUGCAUGACACAAGUUGUAUAUUUGAAAGCUUUAUGUGCUGAAGGAGGGGUCUGCGUCCCAUUAGCUAGUUGGUAAGGUAAAGGCUUACCAAGGCAACGAUGGGUAGCGGGUUUGAGAGGACGAUCCGCCACACUGGAACUGAGACACGGUCCAGACUCCUACGGGAGGCAGCAGUGGGGAAUAUUGCACAAUGGAGGAAACUCUGAUGCAGCAAUGUCGCGUGAGUGAAGAAGGCCCUUGGGUCGUAAAGCUCUUUUAUGGGGGAAGAUGAUGACGGUACCCCAAGAAUAAGCACCGGCUAACUAUGUGCCAGCAGCCGCGGUAAUACAUAGGGUGCGAGCGUUGUUCGGAAUUACUGGGCGUAAAGGGCGCGCAGGCGGAAUAGUAAGUCGGAGGUGAAAGCCCGGGGCUCAACCCCGGAGGGUCUUUCGAAACUACUAAUCUAGAGAGGGUCAGGGGCCGGCAGAAUUCCUGGUGUAGAGGUGAAAUUCGUAGAUAUCAGGAGGAAUACCGGUGGCGAAGGCGGCCGGCUGGGGCCACUCUGACGCUGAGGCGCGAAAGCGUGGGGAGCAAACAGGAUUAGAUACCCUGGUAGUCACGCCGUAAACGAUGAGCACUGGACGUCCGGAGGGUUCGACCCUUCUGGGUGUCUCAGCUAACGCAUUAAGUGCUCCGCCUGGGGAGUACGGUCGCAAGACUAAAACUCAAAGGAAUUGACGGGGACCCGCACAAGCGGUGGAACAUGUGGUUUAAUUCGAUGCAACGCGAAGAACCUUACCUGGGCUUGACAUAUUUAUGAAAGCUUUGUGAAAGCAAAGCCCUCUGCGAGCUUGCUCAAAGACAUAAUUACAGGUGAUGCAUGGCUGUCGUCAGCUCGUGUCGUGAGAUGUUGGGUUAAGUCCCGCAACGAGCGCAACCCCUGUCCUUAGUUGCCAGCACAUUAUGGUGGGGACUCUAAGGAGACUGCCUGGGAUAACCAGGAGGAAGGUGGGGAUGAUGUCAAGUCAGUAUGUCCCUUAUGUCCAGGGCUACACACGUGUUACAAUGGUUGGUACAAUGGGCUGCGAAACCGCAAGGUGAAGCCAAUCCCCAAAAACCAACCCCAGUUCGGAUUGGAGUCUGCAACUCGACUCCAUGAAGCAGGAAUCGCUAGUAAUCGUGGAUCAGAACGCCACGGUGAAUACGUUCCCGGGUCUUGUACACACCGCCCGUCACGCCAUGGAAGUCAGUAGUACCCGAAUCGGGUGGCCCAACCUUAGGGAGGGAGCUCGUUAAGGUAAGACUGGUAACUGGGGCGAAGUCGUAACAAGGUAACC